Molecule: long non-coding RNA, 751 nt
Organism: Cyclopterus lumpus (lumpfish)
Lineage: Eukaryota; Metazoa; Chordata; Actinopteri; Perciformes; Cyclopteridae
Exons: 3
Source: RefSeq, a predicted model, not a curated record
GCCGUUGUCCUCCAGCUUCCUCUGCUGCUCGCACAGAGCCGGCGACGCCGGGUCAGACAGACGCCUCACUUCCUGUCUGUCUGCCUCGUCCACACCUGGUUCACCUGCUCCACCCGUCUGCUGCUGGACGUUCGGAGGCAUGAAACAGAGGAAUGUGCUGCCACAUCAGGAGGAUCAGAAACCAGGUCAAAGGGUCACUGAUAUUGACCUGAGUGUUUGACGGGUAUCGGCUCCCAGUGACGGUGUUCAUGUCCAGCAGAGCGGAGCAGGAGGCCGACUCAUCGAGGCUGCACAGAUACACCACCAGCAGCUCCGUGGAACUACGCAGGAACACAGUAUUUAUUUAUAUAUAUAUAAAAUACAGUAUGUAUGCUGUGUAUAUAUAUAAUAUGAUGUGAAAUAACUAUACAGGUUAUGUGAGCAGAUAUUAGUCCCAACUCUAAUACUUUAAGCUUUCACUAAUGAUGUUUUCAUUAAUUGUAUUUUUGGAAGUUUCUUUUUGCACUUUAGCAACAGAAAGUGUGAGUCAAUGGAUGCAAAUGUUAGCAAAGUUACGAUUAUGGAGGUUUUUCAGUUUAUAUUCGUACUUACUUCAUGAGCAGAGUGACUCUCAUGUUGACCGGGACAAACGGGCUGAUGGGAACCCGGUAGGUGUACCGACCUGGUCUGAAGGAACCACAGGGAACAUCAAGUUAACACCAACUAACUAACCAACUAACUGACCGACUGACUAACUAACUAUCUAACUAAC